GACGAACGCUGGCGGCGUGCUUAACACAUGCAAGUCGAACGGAAAGGCCCUGCUUUUGUGGGGUGCUCGAGUGGCGAACGGGUGAGUAACGCGUGAGUAACCUGCCCUUUACUUUGGGAUAACUUCAGGAAACUGGGGCUAAUACCGGAUAGGAGCUCCUGCUGCUUGGUGGGGGUUGGAAAGUUUCGGCGGUUGGGGAUGGACUCGCGGCUUAUCAGCUUGUUGGUGGGGUAGUGGCUUACCAAGGCUUUGACGGGUAGCCGGCCUGAGAGGGUGACCGGCCACAUUGGGACUGAGAUACGGCCCAGACUCCUACGGGAGGCAGCAGUGGGGAAUAUUGCACAAUGGGCGGAAGCCUGAUGCAGCAACGCCGCGUGCGGGAUGACGGCCUUCGGGUUGUAAACCGCUUUCGCCUGUGACGAAGCGUGAGUGACGGUAAUGGGUAAAGAAGCACCGGCUAACUACGUG
RNAcentral lists this ribosomal RNA (468 nucleotides) under uncultured bacterium. RNAcentral describes it as "partial 16S ribosomal RNA". It matches the Rfam family "Bacterial small subunit ribosomal RNA", at positions 28 to 507 of the family's 1533-position model. The record is from RNAcentral.